This is a long non-coding RNA of Carassius auratus (goldfish), 564 nucleotides long. RefSeq lists it as uncharacterized. NCBI's taxonomy places the organism in Eukaryota, Metazoa, Chordata, Actinopteri, Cypriniformes, Cyprinidae. The record is from RefSeq and is a predicted model, not a curated record. The transcript has 5 exons.
AUGGAUUUCAUCUCAAGUUGAGGCUCAUUUACAGAAGAUGAGCACGUGAUCGGUGGGGGAGGGGAGCAACGGUUAGCGUCUGAUACCAGAGAAAAGCAUCAUCAGUCUCUGUGAAUAAAACGGAUAUUAUCUCAAAUAUAAUCUCGAUUACAGAUUGCAGAUAACGAGGAUAUGAAGAACAUGAAGAUGGACUGGUUUCACAUGCAGAUGUUGCAGUAUCUGCAUCUGAUGUUGAGAAGACACUCAAUCUACCUGCCAAUCCUCAUCUGAUUUUGCUGGGUUAGUGUGUCAUUGCACAUGAUGAAGAAGAAACAUUUACUGAUGGCUGAGAUAUAAAAUUGUUAACAUUGCUGUUGUGCACAAUUGUUAAAAUUGCUUCUUUUUUUUCUUUUUUUUUUUGUGAGUGUCCAGUCAACAUUUUUGACUGCAGUUGCAACAGUGUUUGCUGUGUACUACAUCUUCAACCUGCAGUAUCAAGAGGCUAGAGGUUAGAAUUUUUUCAAAGUUUUUUCAGUUCAUCAUCUGAAACACUGUCAAAUGUGGUUUUAUUCGCAUGCCAGACAC